RNAcentral lists this ribosomal RNA (410 nucleotides) under uncultured bacterium. Its description in RNAcentral is "bacterial SSU rRNA". It matches the Rfam family "Bacterial small subunit ribosomal RNA", at positions 357 to 764 of the family's 1533-position model. The record is from RNAcentral.
AGGAAUAUUGGUCAAUGGCCGAGAGUCUGAACCAGCCAAAUCGCGUGAAGGAAGACUGCCCUACGGGUUGUAAACUUCUUUUGUACAGGAAUAAAAGACAUUACGUGUAAUGUAUUGCAUGUACUGUACGAAUAAGCAUCGGCUAACUCCGUGCCAGCAGCCGCGGUAAUACGGAGGAUGCGAGCGUUAUCCGGAUUUAUUGGGUUUAAAGGGUGCGCAGGCGGGAUUUUAAGUCAGCGGUGAAAUUUUCAGGCUCAACCUGAACAGUGCCGUUGAAACUGGUAUUCUUGAGUAUAGAAGAGGUAGGCGGAAUUCGUUGUGUAGCGGUGACAUGCUUAGAUAUAACGAGGAACUCCGAUUGCGUAGGCAGCUUACUAAGCCACAACUGACGCGCAUGCACGAAGGCGUGG